This 492-nucleotide ribosomal RNA is filed under the name uncultured bacterium. RNAcentral describes it as "partial 16S ribosomal RNA". It matches the Rfam family "Bacterial small subunit ribosomal RNA", at positions 30 to 507 of the family's 1533-position model. The record is from RNAcentral.
AUUGAACGCUGGCGGCAUGCUUUACACAUGCAAGUCGAACGGUAACAGGCCUUCGGGUGCUGACGAGUGGCGAACGGGUGAGUAAUGCAUCGGAACGUGCCCAGUGGCGGGGGAUAACGCAGCGAAAGCUGUGCUAAUACCGCAUGUGAUCUGAGGAUGAAAGCGGGGGACCAGGCAGCAAUGUUUGGCCUCGCGCCUUUGGAGCGGCCGAUGUCAGAUUAGGUAGUUGGUGGGGUAAAGGCCCACCAAGCCGACGAUCUGUAGCUGGUCUGAGAGGACGACCAGCCACACUGGGACUGAGACACGGCCCAGACUCCUACGGGAGGCAGCAGUGGGGAAUUUUGGACAAUGGGCGCAAGCCUGAUCCAGCAAUGCCGCGUGCGGGAAGAAGGCCUUCGGGUUGUAAACCGCUUUUGUACGGAACGAAAAGACUCUGGCUAAUACCUGGGGCUGAUGACGGUACCGAAAGAAUAAGCACCGGCUAACUACGUG